RNAcentral lists this ribosomal RNA (450 nucleotides) under uncultured bacterium. Its description in RNAcentral is "bacterial SSU rRNA". It matches the Rfam family "Bacterial small subunit ribosomal RNA", at positions 354 to 796 of the family's 1533-position model. The record is from RNAcentral.
GUAAGGAAUUUUCCACAAUGAGCGAAAGCUUGAUGGAGCGACACAGCGUGCAGGAUGAAGUUCUUCGGAAUGUAAACUGCUGUUAUAAGGGAAGAAAAAAUAGAAUAGGAAAUGAUUUUAUCUUGACGGUACCUUAUUAGAAAGCGACGGCAAACUAUGUGCCAGCAGCCGCGGUAAUACAUAGGUCGCAAGCGUUAUCCGGAAUUAUUGGGCGUAAAGCGUCCGUAGGUUUUUUGCUAAGUCUGGAGUUAAAUGCUGAAGCUCAACUUCAGUCCGCUUUGGAUACUGGCAAAAUAGAAUUAUAAAGAGGUUAGCGGAAUUCCUAGUGAAGCGGUGGAAUGCGUAGAUAUUAGGAAGAACACCAAUAGGCGAAGGCAGCUAACUGGUUAUAUAUUGACACUAAGGGACGAAAGCGUGGGGAGCAAACAGGAUUAGAAACCCUAGUAGUCC